UACGUAGGGUGCAAGCGUUAAUCGGAAUUACUGGGCGUAAAGCGUGCGCAGGCGGCUUUGCAAGACAGAUGUGAAAUCCCCGGGCUCAACCUGGGAACUGCAUUUGUGACUGCAUGGCUGGAGUGCGGCAGAGGGGGAUGGAAUUCCGCGUGUAGCAGUGAAAUGCGUAGAUAUGCGGAGGAACACCGAUGGCGAAGGAAAUCCCCUGGGACUGCACUGACGCUCAUGCACGAAAGCGUGGGGAGCAAACAGG
Molecule: ribosomal RNA, 253 nt
Filed under: uncultured bacterium
Lineage: Bacteria
Description: partial 16S ribosomal RNA
Rfam family: Bacterial small subunit ribosomal RNA
Source: RNAcentral